GGGUGGGCAGGGGGCUGUCUGAGGCGCCCCUUUGUGGGGCUCCUGGGGGGCUCCACCCCUGCAGACCCCACAGGGGCACCCUGUACCGCCACUUGCACACCCACAGGGGCUGCGUGUGCACUAACGAGACACGAGGGGAACGUGAGGGGAAGGGGGGCAUGGCUCUGAGGGGCGCGGCCCCUUUAAGGAGCGGGGCAGCGCCUCCAGGAGGCGCGCGGAAGCGGGAGCGAGCCGGGCGGGGGGCGCGCAGGGGAGGGGGCGUGGCCAAGGCGGGGAGGGGGCGUGGCUUAACCCCGCUUUGGCCACGCCCCCUCCCCGCCUGGCCCCGUCCCGCGUGGGGAGGGGGGGAGGAGGAGGAGGAGAAGGGGGAGGAAGGGGAGGAGGAGGAGGAGGAGGCGCGGACACCGGAGGCAGCGGCUGCCCCCGAGCCGUGGGCUGCGAGACUUCUUGUCCUGAGUGUUAGCUACAGUGAGCACCUGUGAGCCAACAGCUCUUUCCACGUGCUGUCUGAGAGUGUGAUACAGAACCUGGGCUGAUCUAAUCGUGCUUCUCAGGUAGAGAGCUUGCCAGAGACAAGUGUUUAUGUUUGAGAUGUUUUUUAAUGGAGGUUUGUAAAAGUUUAGUUAGGAAACAAUUCUGUACAUCCAGAAUAUUUAGAUGUUAAAUUAAGCUGGUGCUCAAAGUACCUAAAUACAGUUUUGUUACAAAGUACUUCAUGUAAACACAGCACGAGCCUCACAUUCCUUAAAAGAAUUUAAGUUUUGUAGCUUCUUUUACCAGUGCUGCAGUUUUCUUAAACAAUCGAGAAUAAUCCUGCUGGCACCAUCUGACUGAAGUGUGUUUUAUUUCACGGAAACGUCCUUCAGAGUGUUGGGAAAAUAACUCAAUAAUGUUUCCUAAGGCUCUGAAGAGACUUCUGAUGUUUUGAGUCUUUAUUACACUAGAGGUCAGUGUAUGACGGCAGCUUGUGAGAUGGUGUAGAGUUUCUUGCAGAAUCCUGUUUCAUCAAAUUUGAAACCAGAUUUGACAAGAAACUGUAGCCUACAACUAUGGAAAAAACUUCACAUUAACAUGUCUUAUGACUUUCUUGGCGAAAGGGCUUUUUUGGGCUUCCUGCUUUUAUUUCUCCUUGCUCAAGAAGUAUUUGGCAUGUAUCGAUAAUAGUGCUUUAAUGUGGUAAGGAUAAAUGUGCACGCUUGAUUGUUCCAACAUGCACCUCAAACAUUUAUGCUGCUUUGUAGUAACGUGACUUUUUGGUUCGGAUAAUAUAUUUCCAUAAGCUGUGUUAGUUUUAGGAGUCAUCUGUCACUCUUGCACUGUGUAAACCUACUCCUGGUGUGGUGAGAGAGUUGUAUCUGUACCUAUUAUGCUUUGGGUAGCUCUCAGCUGGAUAAAUGGGUAACUUUGGGGUGAGUGGUUUCACUUUUGGGUGUUGAGGGAAGCAGUCAUGCAUGUUUCUACCACAAGACUUGCAGAGAUUGGCUCCUCAGCAUGUCUUCCUCAGCAAUGCAGAAAAGGGAUUCCUUUCAACAUCUGGAAUGUGCAACAGCAGACUUUCUGAAAACAUCAUAGGCCAGGGGGACUAAGCCAGAUGGUCAAGUACAACAGUGUCAAGUAAGGUCAGAUGGAAGAGAAAUCAGCUGAAGGAGAGUCCUGGUUGGAGCAGAUCCCCGUGUGUGCAUAAAUGAUAAUUUAAGUGAGAGGACGGAAUGGAAGAAAUAACACUAGGGUGGAUUUGAGCUCCCGAGUGUCUUUUCUAAGAGAAUUGGGUACAAACAGAAGCCUCUGUGUCCUGUUCUUGCAUCGGGUUCUUCCUGAAUGACUGGAGAACAAGAAAAAAGGGGCAAGGACCAAUGUAGGGGGUGAGUGCAGACAGCUGAAUUUUGCUGUUUUUAAGAGAUUUUUCUGUGUGGGAGACCCAGACCCAUGAACAUCUUUGUGAUCUUUCUUUUUGGUGGGGCAGGGAUAUAGAGGGGAUGCUGUAAAAGCAUAACCAUCAGUCUGAAAAUCUCCUUUGCACUUGGCUGCUGCCUGGUAUGUUUUGUUGUGUGCUUCUGAAGCACGAAGCAGGAUGGCACCUCAGCUCAGACAGUGUGGAGGAGGUGUGAGGCUCUGCUAAAACUGGGCUCCCUCUGAGGAUUCCUCGCUUUACAGGAAACUUGCUGACUCCCCGCCUCUUCCCCGGGUAUUUCCAGUCUGGGUUUUCCUACUCCCUGUGAGAAACGAAUCUGUACGAAAGCUUUGCGGAAUGGUGACUUAUCAAAACAACUUUAAGAAGUUUUAUGUGCUCAAACUUAAUUGGAUUGUGUUUGAAGAGCCUGAGAAGAGGAAGGCUUUGCAGAACAAUGUGAUACAAGUCGAUAAAUAAAACACCCUACAAAAUUCUUUCCUUUUCCUGU
RNAcentral lists this long non-coding RNA (2399 nucleotides) under Anas platyrhynchos platyrhynchos (common mallard). RNAcentral's name for it is "lncRNA (ENSAPLG00000020552.1)". The record is from RNAcentral. Lineage: Eukaryota; Metazoa; Chordata; Aves; Anseriformes; Anatidae.